CUCAGGAUGAACGCUAGCGGCAGGCCUAACACAUGCAAGUCGCGGGGCAGCACGGGUAGCAAUACCUGGUGGCGACCGGCGCACGGGUGCGUAACGCGUAUGCAACCUGCCCCCAUCAGGGGAAUAGCCCGCCGAAAGGCGGAUUAAUGCCCCAUAGGCCCAGGGCGCCGCAUGGCGCUAUGGGUAAAGCUCCGGCGGAUGGGGAUGGGCAUGCGUGCCAUUAGCUAGUUGGGGCGGUAACGGCGCACCAAGGCGACGAUGGCUAGGGGGUCUGAGAGGAUGGUCCCCCACACUGGUACUGAGACACGGACCAGACUCCUACGGGAGGCAGCAGUGAGGAAUAUUGGUCAAUGGGCGGAAGCCUGAACCAGCCAAUGCCGCGUGCAGGAUGACGGCCCUACGGGUUGUAAACUGCUUUUCCCCGGGAAGAAUAAGCCCCUCGUAAGGGGUGAUGCCGGUACCGGGGGAAUAAGGAUCGGCUAACUCUGUGCCAGCCGCCGC
RNAcentral lists this ribosomal RNA (501 nucleotides) under uncultured bacterium. Its description in RNAcentral is "bacterial SSU rRNA". It matches the Rfam family "Bacterial small subunit ribosomal RNA", at positions 23 to 518 of the family's 1533-position model. The record is from RNAcentral.